This is an RNA transcript of Triticum aestivum (bread wheat), 12795 nucleotides long. RefSeq lists it as uncharacterized. The transcript has 60 exons. The record is from RefSeq and is a predicted model, not a curated record. Lineage: Eukaryota; Viridiplantae; Streptophyta; Magnoliopsida; Poales; Poaceae.
CCUGUUUCCGCCGCCCGCCCAAGCCGCCUCCGGCAAGGACCUGGCCGGCGCCACCGCCCCUUCCCCGGCGGCCCGCCCACGGCCAGGCGCGCCUUGUCCUCCCUCCCUGCGCUCUGGCCAUGGCCCGCCGGUGUGCUCCUCCUCCCUUCGUCCGGGGCCCCGGGUCGUGCCUCCCGCCUCGCCUCGCCUCCUCGCGCCUGGUUUGGAUUCGCUCGUCCUCGAUUCGCCGCCCGUUUAGGUUUAGAACCACGCAAGAUUUGGUUUCUGCUCGUGCUCAAUUCGUCCGUUUGGGAUUGCGCCUGGUUUGAUUUUGCUCGCCGUCGCCCGUUUGGGGUCUCGUCCGGUUCGAUUUUGCUUGUCGCCUUCGUCCGUUUAGAGUUGCCGUCCGGUUCGAUUUUGCUCGUCGCCGUCAUCCGUGUGGAAUCGCGUACGCUUCGAUUUUGCUCGUCCUCGCCGUCGUCUGUGGAGUAGCGUCCGAUUCGAUUUUGCUCGUCUUCGUCGUCGUCCGUGUCGAGUCGCGUCCGGUUCGAUUUCGCUCGUCCUCGCCGUUGUCCCGAUGCGCUCGCGUGGUCCGUCUCGCCUCGUCGGGGGUGGAUUACGGCCGGAGACGGGGAGCGAUGUUCGUUUAUCGUGCUAGUUCAGACCGGUUCCUCGGUUACGUCACCUGCGUUGCUCUCUUGUGAUACUCUGUCAAUUCUUGGUCCUCUGUCAGUUCUUGUUGGCCCUCUGUCAAUUCUUGAGUUCUUGUUGUACCGGUUAGGCCUUUGGCGUGUGUGCUCUCAUCUUAGAUGGGGUGAUUCCUUAGUUCUGAUGGUGUAGACUGUUUAUGUUCUUUCCAAUUUGUUUCUUUUUUAUCAUGCUUUGCUUUGUUUUGCCUGCUGCUGAACUAAUUGAACACCUGCUGCUGCUACUGUUGGACAAAGGUUCCUUCUUUUCUUCCUGAUGUUGCUAUUUUACUCAUAGGAGUUCUAGAUGAGCUGCUGCUAGUUAAUUCCCCUUAGACUACAUUCUAGAUUGAAUAGCAUAACUCAAGAAUUUUGUCAUUGCACACAUGGGCAUAUAUAUAUUUCUGUUGUGAGCAUAACUCCAAAACUUAUUUAUCCAUGAAAGCACGUUCAUCUCAUGUUUAUGCGCAUGUUUUUUUUUUGUCCAUGAAUUCUGUCGUGUCCCUUUCCUUUGGACAAAAAUUUCAACAAACCUAUAACGUGGACAUGUGCUGCUUGUUUUCAUGUGAUGAUGGUGAUCUAGUUGACUAGCCCAACUCUUAUGCUCUGACAUUUGUUAAUCCCCAGUUAGUGUGCUUGAAAAAUUAUUGCUUGUCAUGUUAAAUUUUAUGGCAUCAACUCGGUAUUGUGAUUAGUGACCUAGUACUCUGUAUUUGUUUAGUGUAGACAGCUAACUUCUUUUUUCUUAUUUUUUUAGUGAUAUGCGUGUUCUGCUAUGUCUUAUGUUGAUAGUAUAUUCUUUAUUAUUAUUAUUCAUGUCCAGUCACUGGAAUAAUGCUUUUCUUGAUUUUCCUAGACUUUGUGACAAUUAAUUUAUAGUGCGAUCAUUGAGUUUCUGACAUCCUAUUGCAUAAAAUUCUGUUGUAAUGUUUGUUGGAUCAUUGAGUAGUUAAUAUUGAUUCUGAGCUUGUUGGAUCAUUGAACUUCUGCGUGCGCUUCUGUUAUCUGAGGGACACUCAUGAUCCCGCAUUUCGUGUGUGCGGCGGAGCGAUGAACGAUUACGUUUUGCGUUCCUGCGUUUUGUGUUCGCCGUCUGGUUUUGAAUUUGGAUUACGGAGACGGGGAGAGGCCUGAGUAAGGUCAGUUUCAGAUCGGUUCCGUCGCUGCGUUGAUCGUCGGCGAUUUCCAGACCUCAAACGCAUGCGCCCUUGUGAUACUCUAAUUUGGCUCGUGGUCGUUACGGUUGUUCUUACGUUCUUGAAUAACCCCAUCUUAUUCGCAGAGAUGGUGUGAUUCGUUAUGGUUCUUCUGAUGGUUGCUUAUGUUCUUUCGAAUUGGGUUCUUCUUGUAAUGCUUUGCCUAUGUUCCCAAUGUCUGUCUUUCUAAUUGGCUGCUUAUGUUCUUUCGAAUUGGGUUCUUCUUACGGGGAUGCGUUCAGAGGUGCAAACCAUGUAGGCCGUGGUGUGUUUAUACUAUCUAUGGUGUGUUCUACACUAUCUGAUGUGGAACGUAGAAAUAUUGAUAUCACUUCUGUGCUAGUAUACUAGAUAUGGUGUGUUUCAUCCAAGUUAACCACAUCUCUUACAAAUUUUCCUUGGAGUGAUUGAUGUCUUGAUGAAUAUAAUCAUUUAUGCUAACUUGGUAUUGGUAGUUCCUGAGGUAACACACCAGUACUUGUUUAGUGCAGACAAUUGACUAUUCUUUUUUCUGAACUUUUUUGUGAUAUGUGUGUUAUGUGGAUACCAUAUUCUAAUGCUUUUCUAAGUAUUCAAGGUACAGACUUGUGGAUCUGGACAUGUCAAAUUUGCUCUUUAUUGGGUUGCUAAGGACACUGAACAGUUUGGCUGGGCCACUGCACGGCCUGGCUAAUCAGGAAGUGUUGCUAUGAAUCAAAUCUAUAAUGAAACAGACUGGGAGUAACAUCACAACCGACCAACUUAAAGAAUAUGUAUGGAAGACACUGGAGAGUGGAAAGGUUGUUCCUGGCUAUGGUCAUGGAGUUCUACGUAAUACAGACCCAAGAUACUCGUGCCAAAGGGGGUUUACAUUGAAAUAUUUACCCGACCCAAGAUACUCAUGCCGAAGGGAGUUCACAUUGAAAUAUUUACCCGAGGACCCACUUUUCCAACUGGUACAGCCAUGUAGAUCUAGACAUGAUGCUAAUGGGUUGGGUUUGCAUAUAAUGCAGUAUGGACCAACAAAAUGGUCUCAUUGCAAGGUGGACACACUGGUUAUGUGAAGAACUGAUUGGUAAAUAUGAAGCUGAUUUUGAAUUCAUACAUACAGAGAGAAGCUUGGACUAUUGAGGAGGAACAUGCACUGAUUAAUGCCCAUAGGGUAUAUGGGAAUAGAUGGGAAGAAAUAGCAAAAGUUUUUCCUAGAAGGAAUCGGGUACUUCUAUUUGUUCUUAGGUUCUUCUCACCUAUAGCUAAAGUCAAAGACGACAAAACCAAGUGGAUUAUUGGAGUUACAAGAUACACAAAAUCAUCGGUCAUCUAAAUCUUCUUUUCUAAUAUGACUGUUGGUGCUGCUCAUGAGGCUAGCCACCGGCUUGGAAGGGAUGAGAGGCAAUCACUGUUGUCAACUUGAAACGUAUAAUUUUUUAGGAACGAAGAUCUGAAUCACCCUCCCGCCUCGAGAGAAAUCAGUUUAGUCAUUCAGGUUCUGGUAUUUCUUUAUAGCUUUCUGAGUUUACUUUGGUCUUUCAUGUAUUUGCUUUCUGUUUGUGCCCCUAUCUAUUUCUGUUCUUGUGUGCAAGCGCUCCAUUCUGUGUGUGUCCGACUUUGUGUGGCUUGAUUCUCUUGUGUGUGUCACUGUGUGUUUGACUAUGUGUGAAUAUUGCAUUUGACUGUGAUGCGUUACUAUGUUUGACUCUGUGUGUGUGAUUGUGUGAAUAUUGUGCAUUUGACUGUGAUGUGUGACUGUGUGAGUAUUGUAUUUUGACAAUGACUGUGUGUGGCUUGACUGUGUGUGUGUGGCUUGUAUGCUUUGCUGAAUGAUUGGUUGUUGUGGCUUAACACUGCCUCUGCCGGUCCCAAGCCCGGAUGUGAAAAUGUGGAGGGAGUCUGUUUCUCGUGUGCAAGUGCUACAUUAUGUGUGUGACCAUGUGUGUGAUGUGUUCGUAUCUAUGUCUAAUUCUUUUGUCUUGAUUGUGUGCAAGUGAUUGAUUGGGUGUGUGCUUGCGUGACCAUGCGUGUAUUGCAUUUGCUUGACGGUGUGGUUUGUAUAACUUGUGUUUUAUAUGUGAGGAUUGAUUGUUGUUUGUUGAAUUUGAACAGAUCUAACACUAUUCUUUUUUCUAAACUUUUUUGUGAUUAUGUCUUAUGUGGAUACCAUACUCUUUUUUGUAUUAUUGUUGUCCAGUCACUGGAAUAACGCUUUUCUAAGUAUUUAAGGUACAACCAUGUAGAUCUAGACAUGAUGCUGAUGGGUUGGCUUUGCAUACAAUGCAGUAUGGACCAACAAAAUGGUCUCAUUGCAAGGUGGACAUAUAGGCAAGAAAUGUCAAGAGAGAGAGAAGCUUGGACUAUUGAGGAGGAAUCUGCACUGAUUAAUGCCCAUCGGGUAUAUGGGAAUAGAUGGGCAGAAAUAGCAGAAGUUCUUCCUAGAAGGAAUCGGAUACUUCUAUUUGUUCUUAGGUUCUUCUCACCUAUAGCUAAAGUCAAAGACGACAAAACCAAGUGGAUUAUUGUUGAUACAAGAUACACAAAAUCAUCGGUCAUCUAAAUCUUUUUUUCUAAUAUGACUGUUGGUGCUGCUCAUGAGGCUAGCCACCGGCUUGGAAGGGAUGAGAGGCAAUCACUGUUGUCAACUUGAAACGUAUAAUUUUUUAGGAACGAAGAUCUGAAUCACCCUCCCGCCUCGAGAGAAAUCAGUUUAGUCAUUCAGGUUCUGGUAUUUCUUUAUAGCUUUCUGAGUUUACUUUGGUCUUUCAUGUAUUUGCUUUCUGUUUGUGCCCCUAUCUAUUUCUGUUCUUGUGUGCAAGCGCUCCAUUCUGUGUGUGUCCGACUUUGUGUGGCUUGAUUCUCUUGUGUGUGUCACUGUGUGUUUGACUAUGUGUGAAUAUUGCAUUUGACUGUGAUGCGUUACUAUGUUUGACUCUGUGUGUGUGAUUGUGUGAAUAUUGUGCAUUUGACUGUGAUGUGUGACUGUGUGAGUAUUGUAUUUUGACAAUGACUGUGUGUGGCUUGACUGUGUGUGUGUGGCUUGUAUGCUUUGCUGAAUGAUUGGUUGUUGUGGCUUAACACUGCCUCUGCCGGUCCCAAGCCCGGAUGUGAAAAUGUGGAGGGAGUCUGUUUCUCGUGUGCAAGUGCUACAUUAUGUGUGUGACCAUGUGUGUGAUGUGUUCGUAUCUAUGUCUAAUUCUUUUGUCUUGAUUGUGUGCAAGUGAUUGAUUGGGUGUGUGCUUGCGUGACCAUGCGUGUAUUGCAUUUGCUUGACGGUGUGGUUUGUAUAACUUGUGUUUUAUAUGUGAGGAUUGAUUGUUGUUUGUUGAAUUUGAACAGAUCUAACACUAUUCUUUUUUCUAAACUUUUUUGUGAUUAUGUCUUAUGUGGAUACCAUACUCUUUUUUGUAUUAUUGUUGUCCAGUCACUGGAAUAACGCUUUUCUAAGUAUUUAAGGUACAACCAUGUAGAUCUAGACAUGAUGCUGAUGGGUUGGCUUUGCAUACAAUGCAGUAUGGACCAACAAAAUGGUCUCAUUGCAAGGUGGACAUAUAGGCAAGAAAUGUCAAGAGAGAGAGAAGCUUGGACUAUUGAGGAGGAAUCUGCACUGAUUAAUGCCCAUCGGGUAUAUGGGAAUAGAUGGGCAGAAAUAGCAGAAGUUCUUCCUAGAAGGAAUCGGAUACUUCUAUUUGUUCUUAGGUUCUUCUCACCUAUAGCUAAAGUCAAAGACGACAAAACCAAGUGGAUUAUUGUUGUUACAAGAUACACAAAAUCAUCGGUCAUCUAAAUCUUUUUUUCUAAUAUGACUGUUGGUGCUGCUCAUGAGGCUAGCCACCGGCUUGGAAGGGAUGAGAGGCAAUCACUGUUGUCAACUUGAAACGUAUAAUUUUUUAGGAACGAAGAUCUGAAUCACCCUCCCGCCUCGAGAGAAAUCAGUUUAGUCAUUCAGUAUGGACCAACAAAAUGGUCUCAUUGCAAGGUGGACAUAUAGGCAAGAAAUGUCAAGAGAGAGAGAAGCUUGGACUAUUGAGGAGGAAUCUGCACUGAUUAAUGCCCAUCGGGUAUAUGGGAAUAGAUGGGCAGAAAUAGCAGAAGUUCUUCCUAGAAGGAAUCGGGUACUUCUAUUUGUUCUUAGGUUCUUCUCACCUAUAGCUAAAGUCAAAGACGACAAAACCAAGUGGAUUAUUGUUGUUACAAGAUACACAAAAUCAUCGGUCAUCUAAAUCUUUUUUUCUAAUAUGACUGUUGGUGCUGCUCAUGAGGCUAGCAGCCACCGGCUUGGAAGCGAUGAGAGGCAAUCACUGUUGUCAACUUGAAAUGUAUAAUUUUUUAGGAAUGAAGAUCUGAAUCACCCUCCCGCCUCGAGAGAAAUCAGUUUAGUCAUUCAGAGAAGCUUGGACUAUUGAGGAGGAACAUGCACUGAUUAAUGCCCAUCGGGUAUAUGGGAAUAGAUGGGCAGAAAUAGCAAAAGUUCUUCCUAGAAGAAAUCGGGUACUUCUAUUUGUUCUUAGGUUCUUCUCACCUAUAGCUAAAGUCAAAGACGACAAAACCAAGUGGAUUAUUGGAGUUACAAGAUACACAAAAUCAUCGGUCAUCUAAAUCUUCUUUUCUAAUAUGACUGUUGGUGCUGCUCAUGAGGCUAGCCACCGGCUUGGAAGGGAUGAGAGGCAAUCACUGUUGUCAACUUGAAACGUAUAAUUUUUUAGGAAUGAAGAUCUGAAUCACCCUCCCGCCUCGAGAGAAAUCAGUUUAGUCAUUCAGAGAGAAGCUUGGACUAUUGAGGAGGAACAUGCACUGAUUAAUGCCCAUCGGGUAUAUGGGAAUAGAUGGGCAGAAAUAGCAAAAGUUCUUCCUAGAAGGAAUCGGGUACUUCUAUUUGUUCUUAGGUUCUUCUCACCUAUAGCUAAAGUCAAAGACGACAAAACCAAGUGGAUUAUUGGAGUUACAAGAUACACAAAAUCAUCGGUCAUCUAAAUCUUCUUUUCUAAUAUGACUGUUGGUGCUGCUCAUGAGGCUAGCCACCGGCUUGGAAGCGAUGAGAGGCAAUCACUGUUGUCAACUUGAAACGUAUAAUUUUUUAGGAACGAAGAUCUGAAUCACCCUCCCGCCUCGAGAGAAAUCAGUUUGGUCAUUCAUGUUCUGUAUGGACCAACAAAAUGGUCUCAUUGCAAGGUGGACAUAUAGGCAAGAAAUGUCAAGAGAGAGAGAAGCUUGGACUAUUGAGUAGGAACAUGCAGUGAUUAAUGCCCAUCGGGUAUAUGGGAAUAGAUGGGCAGAAAUAGCAAAAGUUCUUCCUAGAAGGUACCAUCAAACAACUUGCAUCUUAUUGGGAUAAUGUAGCCUAGCCUUGGCCCUCAUUGUUACCAGAUUCCUAGCCCCUGCCACUUGCUCAUUCUUUCCUGCACAUCAUAACGUGUACCACACAUUUGAACAUUGCACGAAUCGGGUACUUCUAUUUGUUCUUAGCUUCUUGUCACCUAUAGCUAAAAUCAAAGACGACAAAACCAAGUGGAUUAUUGGAGUUACAAGAUACACAAAAUCAUCGGUCAUCUAAAUCUUCUUUUCUAUUAUCACUAUUGUGCUGCUCAUGAGGCUAGCCACCGGCUUGGAAGCGAUGAGAGGCAAUCACUCUUGUCAACUUGAAACGUAUAAUUUUUUAGGAACGAAGAUCUGAAUCACCCUCCCGCCUCGAGAGAAAUCAGUUUAGUCAUUCAGUAUGGACCAACAAAAUGGUCUCAUUGCAAGGUGGACAUAUAGGCAAGAAAUGUCAAGAGAGAGAGAAGCUUGGACUAUUGAGUAGGAACAUGCACUGAUUAAUGCCCAUCGGGUAUAUGGGAAUAGAUGGGCAGAAAUAGCAAAAGUUCUUCCUAGAAGGUACCGUCAAACAACUUGCAUCUUAUUGGGAUAAUGUAGCCUAGCCUUGGCCCUCAUUGUUACCAGAUUCCUAGCCCCUGCCACUUGCUCAUUCUUUCCUGCACAUCAUAACGUGUACCACACAUUUGAACAUUGCACGAAUCGGGUACUUCUAUUUGUUCUUAGCUUCUUGUCACCUAUAGCUAAAAUCAAAGACGUCAAAACCAAGUGGAUUAUUGGAGUUACAAGAUACACAAAAUCAUCGGUCAUCUAAAUCUUCUUUUCUAUUAUCACUAUUGUGCUGCUCAUGAGGCUAGCCACCGGCUUGGAAGCGAUGAGAGGCAAUCACUCUUGUCAACUUGAAACGUAUAAUUUUUUAGGAACGAAGAUCUGAAUCACCCUCCCGCCUCGAGAGAAAUCAGUUUAGUCAUUCAGUAUGGACCAACAAAAUGGUCUCAUUGCAAGGUGGACAUAUGGGCAAGAAAUGUCAAGAGAGAGAGAAGCUUGGACUAUUGAGGAGGAACAUGCACUGAUUAAUGCCCAUCGGGUAUAUGAGAAUAGAUGGGCAGAAAUAGCAAAAGUUCUUCCUAGAAGGAAUCGGGUACUUCUAUUUGUUCUUAGGUUUUUCUCACCUAUAGCUAAAGUCAAAGACGGCAACACCAAGUGGAUUAUUGGAGUUACAAGAUACACAAAAUCAUCGGUCAUCUAAAUCUUCUUUCUAAUAUGACUGUUGGUGCUGCUCAUGAGGCUAGCCACCGGCUUGGAAGCGAUGAGAGGCAAUCACUGUUGUCAACUUGAAACGUGUAAUUUUUUAGGAACGAAGAUCUGAAUCACCCUCCCGCCUCGAGAGAAAUUAGUUUAGUCAUUCAGGUUCUGGUAUUUCUUUAUAGCUUUCUGAGUUUACUUCGGUCUUUCAUGUAUUUGCUUUCUGUUUGUGCCCCUAUCUAUUUAUGUUUCUGUGUGUGACUGUGUGUGUGAUGUGUCCGUAUCUAUGUCUGUUUCUUUUGUCUUGAUUGUGUGCAAGUGCUUGAUUGUGUGUGUGCUUGUGUGACCUUGUGUGUAUUGCAUUUGCUUGAUGGUGUGGCCUGUAUGCUUUGCUGAAUGAUUGGUGUUGUAUAACUUGUGUUUUUGUAUUGUUGUGGUUUAACACUGCCUUUGCCUGUCCCAAGCCCGGAUGCAAAAAUGUGGAGGGAGCCGCAGUUACCUCCUUUGUAUUGUUUGCCAUAGAAUGUGGAUAGAAAUUACUCUGUCCUAAUUGAAUAGUGAAUCUUCACAUAAUGUCGAAGCAUGUGAUUCAGGCUAUGAGAUGCAUCCUUCCUUGCUAUGAAAAAUCUAGCAAGUCUAAUUGUUGUUAGAAUUUGUCCCGUCCCGUCUCCUAAGUUAAUCUCGCUGGUUUCUUAAAUCUUGUUAGCACCGAUGUUCUUCUCUGCUAAAAUAUACACUUAAAAACCAGUCAUCUGUUUUUUAUUCUGCUUUAGGUUGAAUUUUUGUUUGGACUCCGACCCAUGUAGGGUGUCCUUUUCAGUUGUGUCAUUUUCUAGAGGGGGUGAGCUUCUAAGAGUGUGUGUGUGUGAGGGAGGGGGGAGGAGCUGACUUCGGCGCACGACCAGUAAGGCACUCUGUAGGCUCGUGCGUAGCUGACUUCAGCAUACGACCAGUAAGGCACUGUGUAGGCCUGUGCAUCCCCUCUUCCCCUUUUUGAUUCAAUUCAUUUUAGAUGAAGAGCGGCCACCUCAUUCUGGUCCGAGAGCCAAAAUCCGAUUCUCCUCGGUGUUCGAGUGCAGCUAUGCGGGGUGAUGGGGGAGAAAUUGGUAGCCAUCCAGCCGAACCUAGCGACGAUAGCAAAAUUGGUAGCGUUGAAUAUAAUCUGUUUGUCUUCGUGUCUUCGUAUGUCCACCCCGCCUCCACUCGAGAAUAGCAUAUGAAUUAUUUGUUUUGAAUUUCACAUGAGAUAACUUUGGUCAAUGAUGUAAAAAUGAGUUAUUGCUCUUUGCUCAUCGGUUCAGCUGACAGCUGACGGGGGCUGUGCUAGCAUGUGUUUUAUUGGGUCGAAAGUGGUGGUGUUUUUUCUGUCAUUUCUGUUAGUUCAGUGUGUCGUGUACGUGCUCUUCAUUAGCAUCCCAUUGUUAGAUUGUGGAUACAAAUGAAGCCUCCUCAGCUGUUUCGAUUCUGGGUCGUCGGAUCGUCUCCCCGAGCGCGUCCUAGCCGUUGGAUCUCCGGGUGGACCGAUACUGGCCGUUGGAUCAUGAGAUGGAGAGGUCCGGGCCGUCGGAUCAAUAGCAAACACUGCUACAAUGAAUAGUGUCCACCCUUGUGUGCCACCGCCUGUAAAUCUCAUGCUCCACCGAGGGCAUUAUUGUCUUUUCACAGGCUGGCGUAUAAAAGGCCGCAUGCCCAUGUGUAACCCUAGCCUCCCCUUCCCCUCCUCCCGUCCUCGCCUCCGCCCCGUCGCCCCCGUCUCCCCCUCGCGCUCACGCCCCUCUCCUUCGUUCCUCCGACGCCGUGUUCCCCUCCUCCCCUCCUCGUCGUUGUUCUCCUGCCACUCGUCGCCGCUGCUCUCCCCGCCGAGCUCGCCGCACUCGCGUUGUCCGGACAUGGACACAUCCGGGCGGAUCCGGUCGCUAGGCGGCAUGGGGCUGUGGAUCCGACGAGCUCACUGCGGCGGCCGGCAGUUUCCUGAGAGAGAGAGAUAGAGAGGAAAGUGAGAGAGAGUGCUAGGGGAGGAGAAGAAAAGAGUGGAGGGAGAGAUGCGGCAGGGCAGCGGUCAGUCCGUCGGCGCUGCACACGGAGGAGACGCGGCAAGGAGGAGCACGAGCCACCGCAGCCACUGGAGCAGUGGGUCGUCGCGCCAUCGACGGGAGGAAGCCGUGCGGAGUGCGCUGUCGCCACCGGCUGCGCUAGGCGACGCCGACAGGCACCAGUGGAUCGAUCCGGUGCCAAAAACCGUCCCAGGCCCGCUGCAUCUCCGGCUCUGGCGAGGCACUCCUGUAGAGGCCAUUCUCUUCCUCACCACGUGUCGCUGGGAGGAUCCAGAAGAGGGGGAGCGGCAACAAAUCGCGACGGAGGAGCAUGGGCUGCAAAUUCGGAUGAAGAGGGGAAAGGAGAUUAACAGUUCUGUCACAAAGAUAACACCAUAGACCAAGCAAGAGGUUUUAUGUGCUGCUUGCUGCAUGUAUGUGUUGGGUAUUUUCAGAGCAUUGAAAUUAAAUAAACACUUUCAGUCCAUCAUUUUGUGUUGGACCUUGUUGCUUGCAUUCUCGUGUCUUUUGGCAAGGAGAAAAUUGUCAUUUGGAGGGGAAAAGACAGCUGAAAACAUGCAAGAUAGUAUAUGCAAAAGACACACCCUUCAGUUAUUGAAUCAGAGUUCAGCGGUGAAGAACACUACAAUUUUUUGGUUGAUGGAUUGGUCUCAAUAGAUUGUAAGGGAUUUCCAUGAAGUGGUUAUUCAAAGAAUGGAACCAAUGUUAUGGCUUUCUAAAAUGGACGUGCAUAGAUCUGAGAAAGAAGAGAACAGGAAUCUAGCGGACGGAGGUCAUGUAGUAUUCACCAAUAGAUGAUAGAACCACAUAUUUUGGAAAUUCCUUGACAAAAAACACAAGAGCAUCAUUGUUUGGUCAAUUGCAGGUCAAUGUUGGCACUGGCCAGAUCAAGCAGGCAGUGGCGACACUGGACGAGGCGUCCUUGCACUGCAAGGCUGCCCUCGACAUAUGUGAAAAGCUUGGCGAGUUAAUUCUUUUCCUCGAAUCAAACGGAAAUCUGAAAACUAUCAAAGAGAUACCAAAUGAUGAAUAUUUCAUAUGUCGACAGGCAUGGUUGACUAUGAUGUGCUCAUCGUUGACUCCACCACCGUUGGUUUUGAGGAUGGUACCUCAAGAAUAAACAGACCUGUGAGCACGCCGUCCUUGCAUUCACUCUUGGAGUGAAGAAGAGUAUCUGCUGUUUAAUAAGAGCCUUCUGAUCUUCGUACUAUAAAGACUGGAUGUGAUGGCCAUUGUGCUUACUAUCAAAACUGUUACUUGAUGAGAACAUUCUAAGCUAAUUCAAGAUAUGUGCUUCCCCCUUGAUGAAUUAUUAUACAUACAUCAGCAGGAAAAACGUGUUUAAUCUACCAUGAACGUAAAUGGAUGAUAGCAGGAUGUUAAAACUUCAUAUAUGUUGUUGCUCAUCGGAUAUAACUAUAACAUGAUGGUCUCAGUCUAUUUUUCAGAGUUCGAAACCUAUAUUAGUCAUCAUGAGAGUGAGAUUUGUAAAUUCCACCUUGAAUCAGUUAACACUUUCCCUUUGCUGUACAAUUUUUUUGUUCUUAUGAUGGUACCAUGCUUGCUAAUUAUAAGAUGUACAAAUAAACUAUUCCUUUGUUUGUCUAGAAAUAGUUUUUCUACUUUCUAUGCAUUGAAGAGAUAGCAAAUCCCUUGCUACAUGUACUAGGGCGAUGCCCAGGUUCACCAAAGGGUCUUUUCAUGCAUGAAAAAGAGAGUAUAUAUCUUCUAGCUAUUAUCAGGUCGUAGGUGUACACAUGGUUAUUGAGUACCAUGACAUAAUCAUCCAUAGUUUUGUGAAAUUUGAAUUCCCAUCUCUUUAUCGUAUUAUUCAUUUUGCACUCGGCUUUCAUAGAAGAUAAAGGUUUGUUUUGUUUUGUUCAUAUGACCUGUUUUGGCUUUUGAGAUCAGUUGAAAGCUCUUGAUAUUUUGAAGUUUAUACUGCACUUCACAUUAAAAUAUCUGGGCAUAUGUUCCUUUAUUCAGCGAAGUGAACACCUAUACUCAGAUGCUUUUUCCACAGGCAUUCACCGUUUACUUGAUUACUGAUGGAAGGAUCUCCGUGCCAAUUGCUGUUGGGAACCAUUUGCCUCUACACCGAUGACCCUCAUGUUGUAUUAUACCAUGAGCUACCAUGACGUCCUCCACCGACCGCUAUUUGAACCUCAGCGCAUUCUUCUGUAAAAAUGACUCGCAUCAAGUCUUUUGCGCUUUCCUCUUGACUUUCUAAAUGCGGAUCAUAUUAUGUGUUAUUGCUUUCUUUAAGAUAUAUCACUGGCCAUGGAUUUCCUUUUAUCCGUCACCACCUUCAUACCUUUCUAUCCUGGAAUUUAUAUGGUGUACUGAGCUAUA